CACCUACUACAACUGCAGCUUGACUAAAGAAAUGGUGAUUUAUUUUCCAAAGAUAACUGUAAUGGAUUCACUGAGAAACUGUACAUUGACUUGCCAUGUGGCCCCUUUCUAAAGACUUUUUCAAUAACAAUUUUGAUAUCCUGCAUGUUCCUUUUCUUUCGCCUUGACUUUAAAAUUAAGCCCCUGCAUAAGAUGGUGUGACAGAUAUUUAUUUAUUUAUUUAUUUUUUUACUAUAGUUGCUGCAUCGGCAUUCAUUUCUAGGCCUAACAUGAGUGUUUUGAAACCCAGUAGUACCUUUGGACUAGUUAAAAUUUCCCCUCUCUGUGCAUUUGUUUGUGAGAUAGCCCACUUGCUCCUCAUCCCACUGACAAAACACCAAGACACCUCACAGCUGCUGACCACAAAUAUCCCAAAUGAUCAACACCAGGGUCAUGUAAAUAAAUUCUCCACUUCCCACGUGUUUCUGUAAACUAGCCAAUCCACAACCCCUGAGGGAAAACCUAAGUGUUAUCACACGUGGACCUUAAUAAGGGCAUAGUCCCAAAUGCUUUUAUUGAGAGGUCCACGGGUCGUCUUUUUCUCUCCCCUUACCUGCAGGCUGGGCUCCCUUCCACCUCUUCUCACUGGCCUCCUGUUUGUACCCCUGACCUCUCCGGGAUCGGGAUCCCAACACUGUCUUCUGCAAUGAAAACCCUGAUUUUCUAUAUCUGGACAAAAGACUAGGACAUAACGAGAAUUUUAGCGGAAGGAACUGAGGGAGAGAGAUUGCACAGCAGACAAGGACAAAUAAAGGGAAGGUGGAAACAAGGUCUUGCUAUGUCACCCAGGCUGGAGUGCAGUUGCGCCAUCUCGGAUCACCACAACCUCCACCUCCUGUGUUCAAGUGAUCUGCCUCAGCCUCCCAAGUAGCUGAGAUGACAGGUGAUCACAGACAGCACAAGAGGGGCAGAAAAUCUCUCAGAAAGUGGUGAGAGUUGUCCAAUUUGGUCAAGCAGGAACAAUGUGGGCAGUGUUACACGCGAAUGAAGACUUUUCAGCGAGAGUGGAAAGGGGUGAAAUGUGUAACAACCCACACAGAGCUGCUUUCAGCUUCACUCACCUAGUCAGGUUGUGGAUGGCCCCAUAACCCCUUUUGUAUUUGCUUGUUAACAGGGAAGAAUGCGUCUGAUCUCAGUGUCUUGUCCAGGUGAUUAAUGGGGAUGCUGUUGCAGAGAUGCAUGCUGCUUUCUUCCAUGUAGCCUUGGUAUCAAGUAGCACCAGCUCAGUAACCAGGUUGUAUUAUCUUAAAAUCAGUAAAUGAAAUCGGGGAGAAUCCGAGUGAGUGUCCUGGACUAAUGGUGAUGUUUAACAGGGCAGGAAGCUGAGCUGUAAGAGUGAUGCUGGAGGGUCAUAUGUUUGGAUUCUUCAAUCAGUUUAAAUAUGGCCUGGGUCAGAAUCAUGGACUGUUACUAUGCAGAGAUUAUUCCAUUAUCCUCCCUAACAUAUCAACUUUUAUCCCAGGAAUACACUUAACAGUUCCAGAGAAGUUGAAGGAUAGAGUAAAUAUUCGCAGGGCUGGCCCUAAAUGAAAUGACUAUUUCAUGUUCUGCCCUCAUGCUCCAAUUUUCUUUCUGGGGACUCUUUUCUCUCAUUUCUUCCCACUAGAGUCAAUCUUAUAUGAGCCUUGAGAUUUAGGAUUGCACUCUGGAAGGGUGAGGGUUUAAAAGGAAGCGGUCAAGUGCUGACCUACAUGACUUAAAUAGUCUCUUGUCUAUCUACAAACCUUCUAAAUGUGUUAUUACUUCUGUUUUAGAGAUGAGGAAUCUGAGGCAGUUUCCAAAAAGAUAAGCAAUUUUCCCUAAAGCAAACAGGUAAUAUAUGAAGGAAGUAGGGUUCAAGCCCAAUUCUGCAAGACUCAAAAGUUGUCUUCUGCACCAGGCUGUGGAGAUGCAAAUCUCUCAUUCCACGUCUAUUCUACUCACAAAAACUGCCACCUAAAUCCUACCUCUCCUUCACUCAAAAAUAUAUAUCUUGAAUACUUUAUAUGCUAGGCACUGGUCCAGGUUUUGGGAAUACAGUGCCAGUGAGACUAAUAUGAUUGCUGCUUUCAUGAAACUCACUAGGCAGUGGGAGACAUGAAAAUAUAUAAGCACAAAACUGUAAUUACAGAGAUAGAUAAGUUUUAUAAAAGGAAAAAUAUAUGAUAUGAUAGAAGAUACGUGUGUAGGGAGGGGAUCUUUUUUAUUUGGUUAGGGACAGGCUUUCUGAACUAGUCACAUUGAGGCCUGAGUCCUUACAGAUGAGAAGCAGAAAGCCACGCAAAGCACUGAGCAUUCUGGACAAAAGGAUCAGCAAAAGUAAAAACCCUGAAGCAAGGAAGAAAUGGUCUGUCCAUGGAGCUGUAAGUAGACCAUCUUGGGAAAGCAUGCAGGGAAAGAUAUGAGAUGUAAUUGGAGAUUGAAGCUAGAGCAAGAUCAUUAGAUCGUGUAGGUCCUCACAGGAUUUGAUUGCAUGCUAAGUGCACGAAACAGGUGCCAGUGAUCAUGUUACUCUCCUGCUUAAAAAGCUCCAGUGGGUUCCACGUUCAACUCUUUGUUGCUUGUGUACCUUCUAUGUUGCCUUGUGUUGGUUUUGACUUCUCAUUACAGGCCCUUUUGCUGAUUUUAGGAUAAAUGACAGUACUGUUAGUUAAGCAGGGAGAUCCUAGAUAACUGUCCCUGCUAGUUCACAAACAGUAUCUUUUACCACUAACAAUUGUCUCCUCCAACCUCCGCAGGAACUUUUGAUUUGGUUUUAGUUCUCAUAGAGUCUGUCAUGGAGACACAGAGGGAGGAGGAUGAGCUAGGGAACAUUUCAGCAGGUUUCUGCCUCCAUUCCCACCCUUUUCUUUGUGCUUCAGCAAAUCUAAUCAAUUAGGUUAAAGUUUUUUUCUAAGGACCAUGCAGUUUCAGACCUCUAUUCAUUCUUCACAUCUUUUACAAAUCCUUUGUGUGUGUUCUUGAUUCUUCCUAGAGUACCAUUUUCUAUAGUUUGCCUGUUUGGCAACCUUUAAACCAACUUUUCUUUGAAGACUCUCUGAGAAUUACUCUAACUAGUUAUGUUUCCUUUAUGCACUUCUAUUAGUUCCCUUAACACAUUUUAAUUGCUUAUACACAGGGUUCACAUCCUUUAUUAAUGUAUGAACUCACUGGGGUUAUUGACCUUGUUCAUUUGUCUUUGCGUCGCUGGCACUCAGCUUAGUGCCUAGCUCAAAGUAGAUUUUCAAGAAAUGCUAAGUGAAUGCCUAGUGGAAGUUCAUGCUCUGUAAUUAACUCAGAAUUGAUAUGCAUGCUCUUAGGCAAGUCAUUUACCCUCUCAGAGACCUUAGUAAGUUAUAUAAUUUAUACUACUAUGUUUUCCUGGUUUACUUUAUAAUACUAAGUUACUGAAAACUUGAUCGAUUGAUAACUUACUCUGUACAGGCCCUAUGCUAGGGGCUUUUAGAUGGAUUAUCUCAAUUUACCCUUAACGUCAACCCCAUGAAGUAGCUUUAGAUAUUAUCCUCAGUUGACAGACAAGGAAACUGAGACCCAGGGAUGAAAAAUGACUUGUGCAAAGUCACACAAGCUGCUAGAGUAUGAGAGAUUCAAACUAACUAUGUUGCACUCCAAGGCCCAGGCUGUCAAGUGUUCUUCUGCUGAAUUGUUUUCAACUCUCUAAAUCAGUGGAUAAAGCUACUCUUUUCUUUUUUUUCUUUUCUUUUCUUUCUUUCCUUUUCUUUUCUUUCUUUCUUUCUUUUUUUUUUUUUGACAGAGUCUUGCUCUGUCAUCCAGACUGGAGUGCAGCGGUGCGAUCUCAGCUCACUGCAAGCUCCGCCUCCCGGGUUCACGCCAUUCUCCUGCCUGAGCCUCCCCAGUAGCUGGUACUACAGGUGCCAAUCAUGCAAAUCAGCCAUCAUGCCUGGCUAAUUUUUUGUAUUUUUGGUAGAGACGGGGUUUCACCCUGUUAGCCAGGAUGGUCUCGAUCUACUGACCUCAUGAUCCGCCUGCCUCGGCCUCCCAAAGUGCUGGGAUUAUAGGCGUAAGCCACCAUGCCCGGCCUAAAGUUGAUCUUUAUGAGGUUAACCUUUUCUCCUUUUCUUUCUGAUUUAGAUAAUUCUCAAGCCAAUAUAGAUGGCGAUUUUUAAAAGAUUAAUCUAUUUUUAAAUUGACAUAUAAAAUUGUAUGUAUGUAGUUUGUACAACAGGAUGCUUUGAAGUAUAUAUACAUAGUGAAAUGGUUAAAUCUAGUUAAUAAAUUCAUGUUAUAUGGUAAUUUUUGUGGUGAGAAUACCUAACGCAUUUUUCAAGAAUAUAUCAUCAACUAUAGUCAUCAUGCUGUACAAGAGAUCAUUUGAACAUAAUCCCUCUAACUGUAGACAUGUAUCUUUGAACCAACAGUACCCCAAGCCCCUCUACCCCCUAACCACCCCAGCCUCUGAUAACUACCACUCAACUCUCUGCUUCUAUGAAAUCAACUUUUUAAGAUUCCACUUAUGGGUGACAUCAUGCAGUAUUUGUCUUUCUAUAACUGGCUCAUUUCACUUAAUGUUCUCCAGAUUCAUCCAUGUUGUCACAAGUGGCAGGAGCAUUCUUUUCAUGGAUGAAUAGUAUUCCAUCAUGUAUACAUACCACAUUUUUUCGCCUGUGAAUCUAUUGAUAGACACUUAGGUUGCUUCUAUAUCUUGGCUACUGUGAAUAGUACUGCAGUCACUAUAGGCAUGCAGGUCUCUUCCACAUACUGACUCCAUUUCCUUUGGAUAUAUAUCUGGUAGUGGGUUUGGUGAGUCCUGUGGUAGUAAUAAUUUUAACUUUUGAGGAGCCUCCAUGCUGUUUUCCAUAAUAGCUCUACAGUAUGAUUUACAUUCCCAUCAACAGUGUACAAGGGUUCCCUUUCCUUCACAUCCACACCAAGAUUUAUCUUUUGUCUGCUUGAUAAUUGCUCUUCUAUGAGGUGAUAUCUUGUGGUUUUGGUUUGCAUUUUUCUGAUUAAUAAUGAGCAUUUAAAAAAUUAUACCUGUUAGCCAUUUGUAUAUCUUUUAAGAAAUGUCUAUUCAGGUCAUUUGGCUAUUUUUAGUUGGGUUAUUUGCUUCCUUGCUAUUGAGUUGGGUUCUUUAUGUACUUUUAUAUUAACCCCUCAUCAGAUAUAUGAUGUACAAAUGUUUUGUCUUCACUCUGUUUUUUCCUUUGCUGCACAGAAGUGUUUUAAUUUGAUAUAGUCCCAUUUGUCUAUUUUUGCUUUUGCUGCCUAUGCUUCUGGGGGCAUAUCCAGAAAAUCAUUGCCCAGACCAACGUCAUGAAGCUUUUGCCGCAUGUUUUCUUCUAAUAGAUUCAUAAUUUGGAGUUUUACAUUUAAGAUUUCAUUCAAUUCUGAGUUGAUUUUUGCAUAUGAUAAAAUAAAAGAAUUUAAUUUCAUUAUUUUACAU
Molecule: long non-coding RNA, 5422 nt
Filed under: Homo sapiens (human)
Lineage: Eukaryota; Metazoa; Chordata; Mammalia; Primates; Hominidae
Description: HSALNT0145910
Source: RNAcentral